RNAcentral lists this ribosomal RNA (460 nucleotides) under uncultured bacterium. RNAcentral describes it as "partial 16S ribosomal RNA". It matches the Rfam family "Bacterial small subunit ribosomal RNA", at positions 338 to 795 of the family's 1533-position model. The record is from RNAcentral.
CCUACGGGCGGCAGCAGUGAGGAAUAUUGGUCAAUGGGCUUAAGCCUGAACCAGCCAAGUCGCGUGAGGGAAUACUGCCCUAUGGGUUGUAAACCUCUUUUGUCAGGGAGCAACGCCGGGUACGUGUAACCGGCCGGAGAGUACCCGAAGAAAAAGCAUCGGCUAACUCCGUGCCAGCAGCCGCGGUAAUACGGAGGAUGCGAGAGUUAUCCGGAUUGAUUGGGGUUAAAGGGUGCGUAGGCGGAAUUCUAAGUCAGCGGUAAAAUAUCGGGGCUCAACCUCGCUCCGCCGUUGAAACUGGCGUCCUUGAGUGGGCGAGAAGUAUGCGGAAUGCGUGGUGUAGCGGUGAAAUGCAUAGAUAUCACGAAGAACUCCGAUUGCGAAGGCAGCAUACCGGCGCCCAACUGACGCUGAAGCACGAAAGUGUGGGUAUCGAACAGGAUUAGAUACCCUUGUAGUC